This 253-nucleotide ribosomal RNA is filed under the name uncultured bacterium. RNAcentral describes it as "partial 16S ribosomal RNA". It matches the Rfam family "Bacterial small subunit ribosomal RNA", at positions 524 to 776 of the family's 1533-position model. The record is from RNAcentral.
UACGUAGGGGGCAAGCGUUGUCCGGAAUCAUUGGGCGUAAAGCGCGUGUAGGCGGCCAGAAAAGUCCGCUGUGAAAACUCGAGGCUCAACUUCGAGCUGUCGGUGGAAACUUUCUGGCUAGAGUCCGGGAGAGGAGAGUGGAAUUCCUGGUGUAGCGGUGAAAUGCGCAGAUAUCAGGAAGAACACCCGUGGCGAAAGCGGCUCCCUGGAACGGUACUGACGCUGAGACGCGAAAGCGUGGGGAGCGAACAGG